RNAcentral lists this transfer RNA (76 nucleotides) under Mycobacterium sp. AZCC_0083. RNAcentral describes it as "tRNA-Arg". It matches the Rfam family "tRNA". Rfam says of the family: Transfer RNA (tRNA) molecules are approximately 80 nucleotides in length. Their secondary structure includes four short double-helical elements and three loops (D, anti-codon, and T loops). Lineage: Bacteria; Bacillati; Actinomycetota; Actinomycetes; Mycobacteriales; Mycobacteriaceae. The record is from RNAcentral.
GCCCGCGUAGCUCAACAGGACAGAGCACCGGUCUCCUACACCGGACUUCGUGUGGGUUCGAGUCCCGCCGUGGGCA